UACGUAGGGUGCAAGCGUUGUCCGGAAUUAUUGGGCGUAAAGAGCUCGUAGGCGGUCUGUCACGUCGGCUGUGAAAACCUGGGGCUCAACUCCGGGCCUGCAGCCGAUACGGGCAGACUAGAGUUCGGCAGGGGAGACUGGAAUUCCUGGUGUAGCGGUGAAAUGCGCAGAUAUCAGGAGGAACACCGGUGGCGAAGGCGGAUCUCUGGGCCGAUACUGACGCUGAGGAGCGAAAGCGUGGGGAGCGAACAGG
RNAcentral lists this ribosomal RNA (253 nucleotides) under uncultured bacterium. RNAcentral describes it as "partial 16S ribosomal RNA". It matches the Rfam family "Bacterial small subunit ribosomal RNA", at positions 524 to 776 of the family's 1533-position model. The record is from RNAcentral.